CAGUCGCCGCGGGAAUACGAAGGGGGCUAGCGUUGCUCGGAAUGACUGGGCGUAAAGGGCGCGUAGGCGGCGAUCAAAGUCAGGCGUGAAAUUCCUGGGCUCAACCUGGGGGCUGCGCUUGAUACUUGGUUGCUUGAGUGGGGAAGAGGGUCGUGGAAUUCCCAGUGUAGAGGUGAAAUUCGUAGAUAUUGGGAAGAACACCGGUGGCGAAGGCGGCGACCUGGUCCUUGACUGACGCUGAGGCGCGAAAGCGUGGGGAGCAAACAGGAUUAGAUACCCCUGUAGUCCCUGUCUCUUAUAC
This 301-nucleotide ribosomal RNA is filed under the name uncultured bacterium. RNAcentral's name for it is "partial 16S ribosomal RNA". It matches the Rfam family "Bacterial small subunit ribosomal RNA", at positions 509 to 807 of the family's 1533-position model. The record is from RNAcentral.